This 492-nucleotide ribosomal RNA is filed under the name uncultured bacterium. RNAcentral's name for it is "bacterial SSU rRNA". It matches the Rfam family "Bacterial small subunit ribosomal RNA", at positions 28 to 521 of the family's 1533-position model. The record is from RNAcentral.
GAUGAACGCUAGCGGCAGGCUUAACACGUGCAAGUCGAGGGGUAUUGGUUUUCGGACCAAGAGACCGGCGCACGGGUGCGUAACGCGUAUGCAAUCUACCUUUUGCAGAGGGAUAGCCCAGGGAAAUUUGGAUUAAUACCUCAUAGUAUAGUACUUUGGCAUCAAGGAACUAUUAAAGUCACAACGGCAAAAGAUGAGCAUGCGUCCCAUUAGCUAGUUGGUAAGGUAACGGCUUACCAAGGCUACGAUGGGUAGGGGUCCUGAGAGGGAGAUCCCCCACACUGGUACUGAGACACGGACCAGACUCCUACGGGAGGCAGCAGUGAGGAAUAUUGGACAAUGGGCGCAAGCCUGAUCCAGCCAUGCCGCGUGCAGGAUGACGGUCCUAUGGAUUGUAAACUGCUUUUAUACAGGAAGAAACCCUCCCACGUGUGGGAGCUUGACGGUACUGUAGGGAAUAAGGAUCGGCUAAUCCGUGCCAGCAGCCGCGGU